CCCAUAGAUGUUCCUAUAAUUGCACGUCUAAGUUAGUUUCAACAGUGAAAUGACACGAACAGGAUAAAUCUAUAAUUCGUUUUUUAAUCUGCGCCCGGGCAUCUUCUAGCGGGAAAUGAAGAGUAAACUGGAAUAAUAAGGCCGGCAACAAUCUAAGAAACACGAUGAACAAAACGAUUGACUAAAAUUAGACACUCAAAUUUCUAAACAAAAACCUUUGUACUUUCGCAACUAAAUUCACGAAUAAUGCAAAAUCGUUUACAACAGGUGAUUUUCAAUGCGGUCGAAUUUUCUAUACAAAUUAAUAAUUCUUUAUCACAUUUGUAAUUUCUUUACAGUAGAAUUUGAAUACUUCAAAACAUAAUAAAUAUAAAAUUUGAAUAAAGGGUAAGAAAACGAAUGUAAGAUGUGAAACCCCGGAUGACAUGAAUCGGUAAAGAUACACCAUCAGAGGGUUGAAAACAAAGCGCUCCUUUAAACCGCUUGUUCGAGCUUCAAGGUUGUGCGAUAAAAUCGAAACGAGUACCUAAUUAUACAUGUACACCUUUCAAUUGUUCACGUAUGUAUAUUACAGCACUUCUCGAAGCACCGACGACGUCUAACUUUAUAGUCCGGGUUCGAAGCAUCAGGUUGUAGUCACGUUCUCUCCCUCACCCCCUCCCCCGCUCUAUCAAACCUGCGUGGUGCCUCAUAGCGACGCUUCGAGGACGACAAGAAACGCGUGUCUUGUUCGGCUUACCUGGGCGUGACACCUUUUCCUCGUGGUUCCCUCGCCCUCUCUACGACUCUAAUACAUCCUGACUGAACCGACUCUACGAUUCGACGCGCGGUUCGACUCGAUCGAUCUUUCGAAACUACGAUUGUUCAACAUGGAACAGCGCCCGUUAGAUCAUUUCCCUACUGUGCACGUCCAGUUGUGCCGCAACGGUGCCACUGACUGGAGUAUUCUUCCACGAAGAACGGUGAAAGAGAGGAGGGCAUGCGUUGAUUCUGGAAUCGAUUGCAACGCGCACAUGCCGGCUGCCAGGCGACGAAGGAUGCGAAUAGCGAUGGGACCAAUACCCUCGUGAUACACCUGGACCUUGAAAACACUUUGCCAGCAACUAAUCUGAAAUGCGAGUCCAAAAUUAUUACGUGCCGCAUGUUUUGAAUCGAUUGAAAUUUCAAAUGGAUGUAGGACAACAAUAGAAAGAUAUGAAAGCAGCUUCCCUAGCAUCUGUGCUUGAGUACUACGUCAAUGUAUUGUUUUCUUCAGAGACUUCAUCAAUAAGGUAGCCCGGAUGUGGUCUUCGCCGAUUUCAAUGAAACUUGAAUGAAGGGUUUAUACACUCAGCUUAAUUAAAAUUAUAAUAAAUACGUGGCCAGGAAUAUGCAUGCAAAGUUUAGGAAAUUGUAUACCUCAAUAUGUUCAGGUAAUGAAAAAGUUUAUUGGGUAGAGGCCGUAACACAGCGGGAGGUUUAUGAGACUCAGAACCUUUUCCUGGGUUCAAAUCCUUUCUGAAAUAAUUGAUAUAAAUGUAGAUCAUUUUAUUAUCUUGAACUGCUUAUUUAUACUUACUAUUAAUAAAAUACUAAUUUCAUUGUAAGUAUAAUAAUGUGCAAUAAGUAUGUACAAGUACAGAAUAAAACUGGUUACAUAUUGCA
Molecule: long non-coding RNA, 1644 nt
Organism: Megachile rotundata (alfalfa leafcutting bee)
Lineage: Eukaryota; Metazoa; Arthropoda; Insecta; Hymenoptera; Megachilidae
Source: RefSeq, a predicted model, not a curated record